AUUGAACGCUGGCGGCAGGCUUAACACAUGCAAGUCGAGCGGAGAUGAGGUGCUUGCACCUUAUCUUAGCGGCGGACGGGUGAGUAAUGCUUAGGAAUCUGCCUAUUAGUGGGGGACAACAUUCCGAAAGGAAUGCUAAUACCGCAUACGUCCUACGGGAGAAAGCAGGGGAUCCUCGGACCUUGCGCUAAUAGAUGAGCCUAAGUCGGAUUAGCUAGUUGGUGGGGUAAAGGCCUACCAAGGCGACGAUCUGUAGCGGGUCUGAGAGGAUGAUCCGCCACACUGGGGCUGAGACACGGCCCAGACUCCUACGGGAGGCAGCAGUGGGGAAUAUUGGACAAUGGGGGGAACCCUGAUCCAGCCAUGCCGCGUGUGUGAAGAAGGCCUUAUGGUUGUAAAGCACUUUAAGCGAGGAGGAGGCUACUGAGACUAAUACUCUUGGAUAGUGGACGUUACUCGCAGAAUAAGCACCGGCUAACUCUGUGCCAGCCGCCGCAGUAA
Molecule: ribosomal RNA, 501 nt
Filed under: uncultured bacterium
Lineage: Bacteria
Description: partial 16S ribosomal RNA
Rfam family: Bacterial small subunit ribosomal RNA
Source: RNAcentral